GGGUCCAUGGCUAGUGCUUACACAUGCAGUCGAACGAUGAAGCCCAGCUUGCUGGGUGGAUUAGUGGCGAACGGGUGAGUAACACGUGAGUAACCUGCCCUUGACUCUGGGAUAAGCCUGGGAAACUGGGUCUAAUACCGGAUAGGAACGUCCACCGCAUGGUGGGUGUUGGAAAGAUUUAUCGGUCAUGGAUGGACUCGCGGCCUAUCAGCUUGUUGGUGAGGUAAUGGCUCACCAAGGCGACGACGGGUAGCCGGCCUGAGAGGGUGACCGGCCACACUGGGACUGAGACACGGCCCAGACUCCUACGGGAGGCAGCAGUGGGGAAUAUUGCACAAUGGGCGAAAGCCUGAUGCAGCGACGCCGCGUGAGGGAUGACGGCCUUCGGGUUGUAAACCUCUUUCAGUAGGGAAGAAGCGAAAGUGACGGUACCUGCAGAAGAAGCACCGGCUAACUACGUGCCAGCAGCCGCGGUAAUACGUAGGGUGCGAGCGUUAUCCGGAAUUAUUGGGCGUAAAGAGCUCGUAGGCGGUUUGUCGCGUCUGUCGUGAAAGUCCGGGGCUUAACCCCGGAUCUGCGGUGGGUACGGGCAGACUAGAGUGCAGUAGGGGAGACUGGAAUUCCUGGUGUAGCGGUGGAAUGCGCAGAUAUCAGGAGGAACACCGAUGGCGAAGGCAGGUCUCUGGGCUGUAACUGACGCUGAGGAGCGAAAGCAUGGGGAGCGAACAGGAUUAGAUACCCUGGUAGUCCAUGCCGUAAACGUUGGGCACUAGGUGUGGGGACCAUUCCACGGUUUCCGCGCCGCAGCUAACGCAUUAAGUGCCCCGCCUGGGGAGUACGGCCGCAAGGCUAAAACUCAAAGGAAUUGACGGGGGCCCGCACAAGCGGCGGAGCAUGCGGAUUAAUUCGAUGCAACGCGAAGAACCUUACCAAGGCUUGACAUGUUCUCGAUCGCCGUAGAGAUACGGUUUCCCCUUUGGGGCGGGAUCACAGGUGGUGCAUGGUUGUCGUCAGCUCGUGUCGUGAGAUGUUGGGUUAAGUCCCGCAACGAGCGCAACCCUCGUUCCAUGUUGCCAGCACGUGAUGGUGGGGACUCAUGGGAGACUGCCGGGGUCAACUCGGAGGAAGGUGGGGACGACGUCAAAUCAUCAUGCCCCUUAUGUCUUGGGCUUCACGCAUGCUACAAUGGCCGGUACAAUGGGUUGCGAUACUGUGAGGUGGAGCUAAUCCCAAAAAGCCGGUCUCAGUUCGGAUUGGGGUCUGCAACUCGACCCCAUGAAGUCGGAGUCGCUAGUAAUCGCAGAUCAGCAACGCUGCGGUGAAUACGUUCCCGGGCCUUGUACACACCGCCCGUCAAGUCACGAAAGUCGGUAACACCCGAAGCCGGUGGCCUAACCCUUGUGGGGGAGCCGUCGAAUAUGAGACCCCUG
Molecule: ribosomal RNA, 1430 nt
Filed under: Micrococcus sp. Y14C
Lineage: Bacteria; Bacillati; Actinomycetota; Actinomycetes; Micrococcales; Micrococcaceae
Description: bacterial SSU rRNA
Rfam family: Bacterial small subunit ribosomal RNA
Source: RNAcentral